CUACGGGUGGCAGCAGUGAGGAAUAUUGGUCAAUGGGCGUAAGCCUGAACCAGCCAAGUAGCGUGAAGGAUGACUGCCCUCUGGGUUGUAAACUUCUUUUAUAGGGGAAUAAAGUGCAUCACGUGUGAUGUUUUGUAUGUACCCUACGAAUAAGGACCGGCUAACUCCGUGCCAGCAGCCGCGGUAAUACGGAGGGUCCGAGCGUUAUCCGGAUUUAUUGGGUUUAAAGGGUGCGCAGGCGGGAUGUUAAGUCAGUUGUGAAAGUUGGACGCUCAACGUUCAAAUUGCAAUUGAAACUGGCAUUCUUGAGUGCAGUGGAGGUAAGCGGAAUUCGUGGUGUAGCGGUGAAGUGCUUAGAUAUCACGAAGAACUCCGAUUGCGAGGGCAGCUUGCUAUACUGCAACUGACGCUCAUGCACGAAGGUGUGGGUAUCAAACGGGAUUAGAUACCCCCGUAGUC
RNAcentral lists this ribosomal RNA (459 nucleotides) under uncultured bacterium. Its description in RNAcentral is "partial 16S ribosomal RNA". It matches the Rfam family "Bacterial small subunit ribosomal RNA", at positions 339 to 795 of the family's 1533-position model. The record is from RNAcentral.